UACCAGCACCCCGAGUGGUCGGGACGUUUAUUGGGCCUAAAGCAUCCGUAGCCGGUUCUACAAGUCUUCCGUUAAAUCCACCUGCUUAACAGAUGGGCUGCGGAAGAUACUAUGGAGCUAGGAGGCGGGAGAGGCAAGCGGUACUCGAUGGGUAGGGGUAAAAUCCGUUAUCCAUUGAAGACCACCAGUGGCGAAGGCGGCUUGCCAGAACGCGCUCGACGGUGAGGGAUGAAAGCUGGGGGAGCAAACCGG
This 252-nucleotide ribosomal RNA is filed under the name uncultured bacterium. RNAcentral's name for it is "partial 16S ribosomal RNA". It matches the Rfam family "Archaeal small subunit ribosomal RNA", at positions 474 to 727 of the family's 1478-position model. The record is from RNAcentral.